GGACUCUUAGCUGCGGGUUUGCCCGAAGGAACCUGAAACAACCUGAAAGCAAAGACCGGGGAGGACACUCCGACCUCACAUGGGGGCAGUAGAGGCAGUGAUUUUAAAAUGGCUUUCCAGAGACCCAGCCGCGCUCCCUGCCCUUGAGGCGGAGGCUGGAGGUCGCGAGUCCGUGGAGCCCCGCUCGGUGCUGCGAGGACUGCAAUGGCGGCCGGGACCCUGAGCCGCGGGCGAGGCCGGCGCGAAGAACUAGGGGAGGACUCCGGCGACAACUCCAGCAGCCUCUCCACUUGGUCCCCCGAAGCACAGGUCCAGAAGCUCCUUGGUCUCCACGAGCGUCGCCACCCAGGUCACCACCGCCUGGGGAUCGAGAGGGUCCGCCGUUCGCACCUGGGCCCCGCAUCCUGCCCCACGCGUCUUCCCGGGGCCUUCUCCCCUCGCUUGCGGGUCUCCGCCUUCGCUUCCGCCUUCCUGCGUUGCAAAAUAAACAAAGACUAGUCUGAAGAGCAGGAACAGGCGUUCAGAGCGCCCGCUGCCCACCACCCCUCCGUUUCUCUUCCCACUGCAGCCCCUUAGUUGCGUGCGUCUGGGCUCCAGUGAGUUCACGGCAGCGACUGCUCCCACUCCACCCCGCUGUCUCUUCCCUCUGUCUUCCUGGCCUUCCCUUCCUGGCGGUGUCCUCCUCCAUGGGCGGAGGAAAAGUAGAACAAAGUGGCGCCCGUCUGCUAACCCCACGCCGGCAUGGGAGUGGAUGGUUGUGGUCACUGGAUGGUGGUAGCCCCUGCAUCUCUCAAUUUAUUUCUCUGUGGCUGUUCUUGAGAAACUGAGGUGCAGACCAAGGGAUCCCCCUCCCCCGGCUCCUCCUGUCUUCAGCUCGGAGGGAUCCAGGAGAAAAUGGCUUGGCUCUUGAAGCGGACAGGGGCCCUAGCAAGUGGCCCCUCCCUGCCCAGCAUCCCCUCUUGAACUUAGGUUCUCCUGGGGAUCAAAGGCAUAAUAAAGAGAAUGGGGUUUUUUUGGAGGAAGCGGGUACCACGUAUGACCUUCAGGCUUCUAUAAGGACUUUUACUCUGAGAGAAUGAGGUUUUCACAGAGAAUUGACAUAAUCUGAUUAUGUUUUAACAAUAUCCCUGUGUUUGAUAAAGUAUUUACAGGGACAAGGACAGGAGUAGGCAGACACUAGGAAAUACGGCCAUGGUCCAGGUGACAUGAUGGUGGCCUGGACCAGGCUUGAGGAAGCAAGUGUGGGCAUAAGACCCUGUGGCUGGAGGCUGGUGCCUGCUGAAUUCACUUUCUGAGGGGCCUCCAGUAAGACUGUCUCUGCCUCCCAGGCCAGUAUGGCCUUACUUCUUGUUCUCUGCCUCCCAGACCCCCUCUUCAGCUGAUACCAGAAGAUUCAGGUAGCAGAGGCCAAAGAGAGUAAUAUGAGAUUUAAGUUAAUACAUAACUAAAGAAGAGAUGACACAGUGGAAGAGAAGGCCAACCAUUCAUGGAUCUCAGCUGCAAGCAACAGAAACCAGUUCAGGUUAAUUUCAAUGGAAAAGGAGUUUAUGAUAAUGAUAUUGGGUGGAUUACAUGGCCAGCAUGUAUGAAGAGCCAGGUUCUAUGAAACACAGACUCACCAAGACAAGACACAACUCACCUAAUGUGGACAUCCCUACCAACACUAACACGCAAAAGACUCUACAGCCUGCACCACCAACCCCUCCACUGCUGCACUCUGACACUGCCCCUAGCUCUGCUGCCACAGCUGCACUAGGAAUUCAGUCUGAAUGGAGGCUCCCAGUCCCUGCUUCUUUGACUCACUGGUUCCUGCUUCCAUGGCUGAAUCUGAUUAGUGGAAUGUACCUCACUUGGCCAUGUCCUAGCUCCAAGGGAGUCUAGGCAAGCAAGAGUUUGGCAUUUUCAUCUCCCAUUGGGUGAGGCAGUCUCUCCUCCACACUAUGGCUAAUAACGUUGAAAAAGAUUCCAAACGUACACUGGAUUUCAGAUGCUAAGCAGACCUAAAAAUUCACAAAUAUUCAUAAGAAAAUGUAAAUCAGAUUGGGACCAGUGAAUGUCCUAUAACAUUAUUAGACUGAUCUCUUUCUGGGGCUGUGAUCCACAGUACCAAAAGGAAAUUACAAAAAUAUAAAAAUGUUCCAUUUUGCUUGUGAUUUAGCCUUCGGAAAAAAAUCAAUGAUUAAUAUUUAUUUGGGUAUUGGUUUAAAUAUUAUUGUCAACAUGAUAAAAUUUUUAUAAAACGUGUGUGAUAUUUGUAUAGGUAUCAAUAUGUAUGGAUAGAUACGUGACAGAUAAGUCACUCAAACACUGACAAUAUCAUAUCAUUUGACAUUCAUCUUGAUCCAGCUAUAACUAGAGCUAAAAAAAAAAAAACUCUUGGAAUUUCCAGGUAUUGAAACAAAUAAAUUACCUUUUGUGCUUCAGCUAGUUUGAGAUGACGUUCCUUGUCACUUGUACCCAACAGAGUCUGGAAUAAAAAUACACAUGUUUAAAUAUUAUUGAUACUUAACAUUUGUUUAUUCUAUUUGGACUUAUAAAUGGACUUAUAUGAGAGUUUUUUAAUUAGUAUCAGAAGUAAAUGAGUUAAAAACUGAAAUGGUUAUAGAUUUAUUUUUAUAUCUACAGCUAUGAUAACGUUUUAUAUUGUAAAUAUUCUAUAUAUACAGUUUUUUGUGUUUUGUUUUUUGUUUUUUGUUUUUUUUGAGACACAGUCUUGCUCAGUCACCCAGGCUAGAGUACAAUGGCAUGAUCUUGGCUCAUUGCAACCUCCACCUCCCAGAUUCGAGUGAUUCUCAUGCCUCAGCCUCCCAAGUAGCUAGGAUUACAGGCAUGUGCCACCACGCCGACCUAAUUUUUGUAUUUUUGGUAGUGACGGGGUUUCGUCAUACUGGUCAGGAGUUUGAGACCAGCCUGGCCAACCCAGAGAAACACAUCUCUACUAAAGAUACAAAAAUUAGCUGGGCAGGGUGGUGUCUGUGUAAUUCUAGCUACUCAGGAGACUGAGGGAUGAGAAUUGCCUACAUCUGGGAGGCAGAUGUUGCAGUGAGCAGAGAUUCUCUGUACUCCAGCCUGGGUGACAGUCAGACUCCAUCUCAAAAAAAUAAAAAAUAAAUGUGUACAAGAAUGUUAUGAGACACUUCCCACUAAUCAUCAAAAAACGAACAUGGACAUAUAUACCUUUAUUCCCUCCUAUAGCUCACUAUAAGUAUCCUAAAGAUAUUCAUUUAAAAGGUCAAACCACAGAAUGAAUAGAAGUGGCAAAGAGAUAACAGCAAUACAAUUUUGGAAGCAACAAUGCAGAUGUUUUAGUAGUAGUUUUUAGCAAACAGGAGAAAGCCAGAACCUAAGCCAACAGUGGCAGAAGUAUAAACAGAGUAGUUUUUGCUGCAAAUCCCUCAAAAGCCCUGAACUGGAGGUGGCAUGUGCCCGAUGGUGGAGCAGAUAGGAUGAAAAAUAGGGGAACUAACUGAAGUCACAAUACUUAGCAGUCCAUAGCCACUCCCCACUGGCAGUAAACUGGUUUGCUCUCCAGAGAUGUCAAUUCAGCAAAGCUCUGGACUUUAGGACCAGAGUCGCCUAAAGGCAGUAAGACUGUUCUGAAAACCAGGGAACAAGUGACAGGGUACAUUCCAAACAGAGAGACUCUUUGGCCCCUUUAUCGACUUGGAUCCCAGAAUAUUGAUGGUUAAUUUAGGGUGCAGCAUUCAGGCUUAGUUUACUUUCUUCUUUCUAUACGUUUUUCAUUCUUUACAAUGAACAUAUAUUAUGCACGCAAUUAAAAAAAAAUCCAGGAGGUGAAUAAUUUUCAAUCCAUAAUUCUAUAUCCAGCCAAACUAUCUGUUGUGCUACUCCAAAAUAUAUAGGAUUAUUGAGCUGCAGGUAAUUAAGAAGAAGCAGACGCGGAGAAGCUCUCUGCCGUCCCUCUAUUUGCCUAAAAGCAGGACAUACAAAAACUGAAAGUAUUCUGCCUCCCUUCUACCAGGGAGACCAAAAGGUAACCACAGAAGACAACUUUAAACCUUUAUCAUCUGGAGAUGAUACCAGGGAAGUCUCCAUUAACAAACAUUACUAGCUAGCCUUUAUUUGCUAUGCAUUUGCCUUCCUACAAGUUGCCACUCCUAAAGUUCUUUUCCUUUACCUCUCCAGAAAUUUGCUUUCAUUACUGAAGAUGCUGUGUCAGCCAGAAUUCAAAGCCAAUUCUGAGAACUACUCAUUCCCUGGGUGUCUCCCUUGUAUGUAUGAAAUACACACGUUAAUAAACUGUUUUUCUCUUGUUAAUCUG
RNAcentral lists this long non-coding RNA (4282 nucleotides) under Macaca mulatta (Rhesus monkey). RNAcentral describes it as "lncRNA (ENSMMUG00000057751.1)". Lineage: Eukaryota; Metazoa; Chordata; Mammalia; Primates; Cercopithecidae. The record is from RNAcentral.